RNAcentral lists this transfer RNA (69 nucleotides) under Ophiacantha linea. Its description in RNAcentral is "tRNA-Lys". Lineage: Eukaryota; Metazoa; Echinodermata; Ophiuroidea; Amphilepidida; Ophiacanthidae. The record is from RNAcentral.
AUCUUAUUAGCUUAUACAAAGCGUAUUGUUCUUAACUAUAAAAAGAUGGAGAAUUACCAUCAUAAGAUA